Molecule: long non-coding RNA, 823 nt
Organism: Maylandia zebra (zebra mbuna)
Lineage: Eukaryota; Metazoa; Chordata; Actinopteri; Cichliformes; Cichlidae
Source: RefSeq, a predicted model, not a curated record
ACAAGGACUGGACUGAAAAACGAGUGAAAACACAGUCAAUAUUUAAAGAAAGACUUUGAAAGACCGUCAGAAACCCUGGAGAACUGUUGCUCAAGACCAGUUAAAAUAUCUGAAAGUCUGGCUCCUUAGAAAGAAAAUCUAAAGAAGUACAAUAUUGCUUAUUAUUUUUAGGUUUGUGGGAGAUGUAUCACAUAGGGAAAGGAGAAAUAGGCUGCAGGCAAGCUCAGUGCGUGUCCAUAAGUGGGCAGCAGUGUACAGCAUUCAAGUUAAUGAUGAAUGAGUCUCUACCUCUACCUGCAGAAUGUCUAAAGCAGAGUGAAACAACACUGGUGCAAGCUGUAGUCUUAUUAGGAUCCACUAUAUCCUUGCAGAUUGUCAAUCCAAAGUGCUGAAGUCUUCUACCGCGAUUCUUCUUCCUUCCGAUUUCAAGGAUCAAAUGAUUUGAAUGUUUGUUAACCAGACUGGUUAAAUCAACUUAACGACUUCGUUCACACGCAGGAUUCUCAUUAACUCAACUUCUCAGCUUAAAAUAUGACACUUCAAGGCUCUGCUGAAACAGGAGACUAACAAACCACAUCGAGCUGGCCUUUAUCACUGAGAAAGAGUCAUUUAACAGGGUCAAAAACAACAAAUGGAUUAGGAGCAAAGGACUUAUGACAGGCUGAGGCACAGCCCUUCGUCUCAGUCGCUGAUUUACAAGUGCCGGAGAGCAGAGAUUCCUAAGCAGGCUGAGCGCAGUGAAGCUCAACACUGAAGCAGUGAGUGAGCGGUGAUUCCAGCAGAUCAGCCCCUGAGACGAAGGAAAACUGUCCUCAUGGACUCC